Molecule: non-coding RNA, 45 nt
Organism: Schistosoma mansoni
Lineage: Eukaryota; Metazoa; Platyhelminthes; Trematoda; Strigeidida; Schistosomatidae
Source: Rfam
AUCCAGCUGACCUGUCCCAAAUAGGACGAAACGCGUGCCAUGGAU